AUGACAACAGCAGGGUUAACAGUUAACCCAAUUUGUCAAAUUGGCGCAAUAAGAUGCAGCGGUUUCAGAGUUGCAGAUCAGAAUGUAGCUCAACAAGAUUAUGCGCAAAAGAGGGUUAAAAUUUCUCCACAUACAACACAGCAAUUAAGUCUAUGCUCACAAGCUUUAUUCCAUUCAGGAUUCAGCUCAUAUACAAAACAAAAUGAAAUCAAAAAAACAAACAAAAAAGGGCCUCGAUGCGAGGCCUGGGUCUUCAGCCGCAGCACAGAUCGAGCGAAACCUUCGAUUCGAUCAGAUCCAGAACGACCAAGAAAGGGGGGCGCAAACCAGGCCGGAUCAGACGGCGGAAGGCGCGGCGCCGGCGGCCUCGGCCUCGAGGUAGCGGCAGAUCCGCUCGACGACCUCCCUCCCCUUGGCGCUGUUCUGCAGGAACCUUUCGGCGCAGCGGGUCUCGACCUUCUCGGCGACGGCGGCGAGCUUGGCGAGCGGGCGGCACCGGAUCGUGGUCUCCUGCCUGAACUGCGUCCAAUCAUCGGGGCGGUCCGGGUGGGGCCGGAAGGUGGAGCGCUCCUCGACCUCGAUGAUCCCGCGGAGGCUGACGUUGCGGACGACGAUGUCCAUGGCGCGGCGCGGGGCGUCGACGACGGAGGUCUCGACGCAGUGGCAGAUCGCGGCGCCCGAGGGGGAGGCGGCGGCGGCCGGGAGGAGGCGGCGCAGGAUGAAGGGGAGCGGCGGGGAGCGGACGGUGAUGGAGCGCGCGGCGUGGAGGCGGCCGGCGUCCGUGUCGACGCGGCGCUGCAGGGUGUGCACGUCGGCGACGUGGGAGAGCGCCGUGCGGGAGGCCGGGUCCGUGAACUUGCGCCACGCCGCCGCCGUCACGCGGUCCCACGGGUGCCGGUAGACGUGCUCCUGCGUGUAGACCACCAUGGCGGCGGGUCCGGGCGGGUGGGUGAGCGGGCGGGCGGCUGGCUCGCGGGGUUUUGGAUUUCGCUCCUCGAUUUCUUACUUGCGGCGAGGGUUUGA
RNAcentral lists this ribosomal RNA (1023 nucleotides) under Triticum aestivum (bread wheat). Its description in RNAcentral is "partial small subunit ribosomal RNA". Lineage: Eukaryota; Viridiplantae; Streptophyta; Magnoliopsida; Poales; Poaceae. The record is from RNAcentral.